RNAcentral lists this ribosomal RNA (253 nucleotides) under uncultured bacterium. RNAcentral's name for it is "partial 16S ribosomal RNA". It matches the Rfam family "Bacterial small subunit ribosomal RNA", at positions 524 to 776 of the family's 1533-position model. The record is from RNAcentral.
UACGUAGGGGGCAAGCGUUGUCCGGAUUUAUUGGGCGUAAAGAGCGUGUAGGCGGCCAUGUAGGUCCGUUGUGAAAACUCGAGGCUCAACCUCGAGACGCCGAUGGAAACCAUGUGGCUAGAGUCCGGAAGAGGAGAGUGGAAUUCCUGGUGUAGCGGUGAAAUGCGCAGAUAUCAGGAAGAACACCCGUGGCGAAGGCGGCUCUCUGGGACGGUACUGACGCUGAGGAGCGAAAGCGUGGGGAGCGAACAGG